Molecule: ribosomal RNA, 651 nt
Filed under: uncultured bacterium
Lineage: Bacteria
Description: bacterial SSU rRNA
Rfam family: Bacterial small subunit ribosomal RNA
Source: RNAcentral
CAUGCAAGUCGAACGCCCGUAGCAAUACGGGAGUGGCAGACGGGUGAGUAACACGUGGGAACAUGCCUUUCGGUUCGGAAUAACCCAGGGAAACUUGGGCUAAUACCGGAUACGCCCUUACGGGGAAAGAUUUAUCGCCGAAAGAUUGGCCCGCGUCCGAUUAGCUAGUUGGUGAGGUAAUGGCUCACCAAGGCGACGAUCAGUAGCUGGUCUGAGAGGAUGAUCAGCCUCACUGGGACUGAGACACGGCCCAGACUCCUACGGGAGGCAGCAGUGGGGAAUAUUGGACAAUGGGCGCAAGCCUGAUCCAGCCAUGCCGCGUGGGUGAUGAAGGCCCUAGGGUUGUAAAGCCCUUUCGGCGGGGAAGAUAAUGACGGUACCCGCAGAAGAAGCCCCGGCUAACUUCGUGCCAGCAGCCGCGGUAAUACGAAGGGGGCUAGCGUUGCUCGGAAUCACUGGGCGUAAAGCGCACGUAGGCGGAUUGUUAAGUGAGGGGUGAAAUCCCAGGGCUCAACCCUGGAACUGCCUCUCAUACUGGCAAUCUCGAGUUCGAGAGAGGUGAGUGGAAUUCCGAGUGUAGAGGUGAAAUUCGUAGAUAUUCGGAGGAACACCAGUGGCGAAAGCGGCUCACUGGCUCGAUACUGACGCUGA